This is an RNA transcript of Raphanus sativus (radish), 1916 nucleotides long. RefSeq lists it as uncharacterized. The transcript is spliced from 5 exons. Lineage: Eukaryota; Viridiplantae; Streptophyta; Magnoliopsida; Brassicales; Brassicaceae. The record is from RefSeq and is a predicted model, not a curated record.
CGCUUGUUCUUUUCUCGGUGGAGGAAGUGCUUUUCCGUAGAUCUCCGGUUCAGAUCUGGUUAACUCCGGUGUAGAUUUGGGCUGUGCAAGGCGUUGUCGGUGAAGCUUGAGGACGGCUUCCUGCUCGUCAUGUCCUUCUCCAGGUUUUCAUUCCGGGUUUGCUGUCUGGAGGGUUUUCCAAUCUCUGUGGUGGAGCUCUUCGAGGCGGUGGCGCGUGAGGCGUCGGGUAACUUUGCUCGAGGCUGUAUCCCUCGUCGCGUGAUACGUGGUGUCCGGAUUCGUGUCCUCAAGUAGGGUUAGGGUUUUGAGAUUCUUGGAUCUCGGAAUUUUCUCCCUUGGCUUUAGGUUCCUCCGGUGGUCUCCGGUGGUUCCGCGUUUGUCAGUUCGUUCUGCUUUUGUGGUGGUCACUGGUGGCAGUGUGUCGUGAUGUCGUCUCCUCGACUUGCGCUGUGAGUUCUGCUUCAGUCGCGUGUUGUUGUAGCGUCUCCUCUAAGCUGUUGGGUUCCGACGUUGUGGCCCUUCGUGUCUCCGUCUCUCUCUCCUUUGUACCUUGCUGCUUCGUGAUCUCUCUUGGAAGCGGACGGGUCUCUGAUAAUGAACAGACUUCGGUUGGGUUUUGGACCUUUUAGCUUGCUUGGUGGCUAUUCUCCGGAGAUGGUGUUUUCGACCGGUCUCACCGCCCUAUAUGGGUUUUCGGGUUCAAGAGGUGUACACGGUCCCGGGCUAGAUAGUUGGAGGCAGCAAUCUUCAGUUCUCUUUUCCGAACGACGGCAUCGUCGGUUGUGAACCCUCCUCGUGCUGCCGGUGUUGAGCUUCUUGGGUGAGUUAGCAGGUUCGAGUUGUAAUUCUUUGGACAGGUAUUGGCUUUUGAGUCUUCUGGAAGUUGUAGGAGCCGGCUGCAUCAAGGUAUGAGGGCGUCUUUCUCUUUGGUGUCUCGUGGUAACUGGGAGUUCAUAUUGUCCAAGCUUAGUCUUCUGGUUCUUCACUGCUUCAUUGUCGCUCUGUUCAAAGGCUUAGUCUUGUCUUAAUUCAUUUUGAUUAUUGUUUGUUGUUAAGGUCUUUGUUUAGUUUAAUUUCUCGUAUCUCUGCUACUAGUGUCUAUGUAAAGUCUGUUUCAAACUUAAAAUCUGGUAUAAUAUUUAACAUUUUACCAAAAAAAAAAAACAUCAUCAUAUGGAUACUGCCCAAAACGGAGCCAGGUCUGGUGAUUUGAACAAUCAAAUCCGCCGUUCAAAGCCAACAAUGGAGUUUCAAGACUUUGUCGGGGACGAAUAUUCAGAAGGAAUCUUUUGCUCGAGCUUCCUUCCUGUCGGUUCGACUAAAUUACUCCUCCUUUACGAGAUGUAAUGAUUCGUCACCGUUAAUAACCAUCUUUACUUCUUCCACCCACGAUCAUGAUGAUUAAUCAUUCACUGCUUCUUAUCUCUCUAGAUUGUGGAUCUCAACCUGUAAAAAAAUUUGCAGGCUAGCCGAUGUUCUUCAACCGUCAAGGUCUCUGAUUUUGGAAAGCAAACACGGUGGAGAGCUGACGGAUGUGGACAUGCUCCUGCUAAGGUGAUUCUGUUUUUAAACAGUUUAUGAGCUAAGAACAGGUAUUUGAUCAUAAGAGUUGGCGUGUUUGGAGACGUGUGCAAUGAAAAGAGAUAAAUGCGCAAGAGAAUGGAUGCGGAUUAUGUUGAAUAUUAUGAAUCUUUGUGAAUUGGAUUUGUUAGGUUAGUGGGAAUAAUUGUUUUCAGAAAAAAAAGGUUAGUGAUAAUGAUGAUGAUGAUAGGUGGAAGGUGAUUAUGGUGCAGUUGUCUUGAGAAACACCAAGCAUGGCAUGAUACGCUAGAUUUGAUCAAAAAAGGCAUGAUGCAGUUGAUAUACACAACAUUGUUGCUUUGUAAUCUAUCUUUUUUUUAAUGGCUUUCUGCUAA